GGUCCCAGUACUGGAAACAAAAUGCAAGAAAGAUUCUUGCUAUACAAGAACAAGCCUUCCAGGAGGUACAGGGCUCUAAAAGGAGGAGAAUGAGGUAAUCUUAAGUAUUCGUAUUUCUCUUAUUUGUCCAAAUAUUGAAAGGCAUUGUUUAUUUACUUAUUUGUCCUUACCUUUGUUGUCCAGACUAUUGAAACUUUAUUUCAAAUCAGCACCGGUUUGCCAAUCCUUUGGCCAUUAAUGCUUCUGUAUUUUAGUGGCGUCUAUAAUGUUGGGCCAAAGAUUUAUUUGGCUACCACAAGCAAAACCACUAAAACACAAACAGCAUAUAUCUAUUAUGUUUUUUCCUUGUAAUAGCCGAAAAGAUGAAGAUGCUGCCGGAAUUGGAGAGGACACUGAGAAGAUAGAAGAGCUUGUACUGGCAUCACAGACCUUACCAGAUAUCACUGCAGCAAUCAGAGAGCUCACCAAUCUAGCUGCCACUCAAAGAGUGAUCCUGACUCCUUCACAGCUACAGACCAUCAAGCAAGGAUUCUGCUGUGUUAUUUGUAUGAAAUUCAUCGAGAAGCCAGUCUUCACCGAGUGUUGCCGGAGCAUUAUUGGCUGCAAAACGUGUGGUACAGUGGCAGGAGACCUCUGUGCACUGUGCAAAAUGUAGAGGGAACACUGCAAACAACACCAUAUAUGAAAUUAAUGGUCUGUCAGAGACAUUUUCUGUUCUGAGAUCCCUUUAUGAAGAGGAGUAACAUGUUGAAUUUUUACACAAACGAAUUUCAAGUUAACCGUCUUCAAGUUAAAUAGAGCUAAUGGCUUUUCACACAUUGCACUGAGUUGUGGUUAUAAGACAGAGCAAUGCCUGUUUGUAUGGGGCAAAGUCAUUGUUCACUGCUCUAGAAUACAAUUCUGAAAUGUCUGAAUAAUGCUCGGCAAACUGGUUCUCAACUGUAAUCUUGUCCUGUUCAGUUGAAAAUGGAUCCACUCCAAAAGUUGAAAGCCUGGUCAGUGAUGAUCCCAGCUGUUGGCUGUAAAGGUCUGCUGCUUCAGCUGAAUGAGGCAAGAGUUCCUGUUGGAUUUUUUUGGGACACCCACGGCCAGCCAAGUCAUUUGGUGUUCCUUUACCUGUAAAAUAAAGACCAUACUGUUGGUAUAGAAACUUGUGAAUGCCUUUUGUAAUAAUUGUAAUCCGUAAUUUCACCUGGAAUUCUAUGAGCAUUCCAUGACUCCACCAGCCUUGUAAGACCAAUCUCACACAAGCGGCCAGUAAGGUUGGACACACAAUAUCUCACAAGGCUGUCGUUCAUGUCUAUUUCCUCUUGAUCCACCAACCCCAUAAGUGCUGUCUUCAGUGGAUAGUUGACACGAUUGUUGACUUCAGGCCAGAUUCGUUCAACUAUAUGAUUCUGAAUUUGCAACAAAGAUGUGUCAUCAGUCAAUGUGUUCUGGUGGGUAAAUAAAUCUUAGUCUAUCAAGGAAAAAUGGUCAUGCAGAAUUCCCAGUAAAUGUAUUAACUCAGCAGUCAUUAUGCACAUUGACCACCGAACAAGUAAAUUUAUAGUUUUACCAGGAAUUCUGCUGGAAGACAAAUAGGAUGUAGCUGCUUCUGCAGCAGUUUUUUUAUUGUUAAGCUGGAACCAGGUUUUAAAAAGAAACAUUCUCAGCCAUAGUUAAUUUUAAUUAACUCAAAAAUUUGGAAAGCAUAGUAAUAGCAACGACAAUUUGUCUCAUGCAUAAAAACAACAGUAUGCUGCUGAAGCAAAAAUAAUAAUAAUAAUAAAAAAAACAGGCAUACAAGUGAAUUGCUGAAGCAACCAAACAAACUGUUGAGCUGUACCUUUGUGGAUGAAGUCUGUAAAUAUGGCCUUCGCUCCUGAUUAUGGCGGUGAGAUGACAGCAGCUCCUGCAUGAAAAGUGUCAAAUAAAACUCCUUGCCAUGAUCUACUCGUACCUGGUCCCACAUACCAUAGGCAAGGACUGCAGGCCUAUUGGAUGAAAAAGUGUUUUAUUUUGUGCAAAACUUUUCAAACUUAA
This 2025-nucleotide long non-coding RNA is filed under the name Carassius auratus (goldfish). RNAcentral's name for it is "lncRNA (ENSCARG00000021045.1)". Lineage: Eukaryota; Metazoa; Chordata; Actinopteri; Cypriniformes; Cyprinidae. The record is from RNAcentral.